Molecule: ribosomal RNA, 490 nt
Filed under: uncultured bacterium
Lineage: Bacteria
Description: partial 16S ribosomal RNA
Rfam family: Bacterial small subunit ribosomal RNA
Source: RNAcentral
GGAUGAACGCUAGCUACAGGCUUAACCCAUGCAAGUCGAGGGGCAGCAUGAUUGAAGCUUGCUUCAAUCGAUGGCGACCGGCGCACGGGUGAGUAACACGUAUCCAACCUGCCGAUAACUCGGGGAUAGCCUUUCGAAAGAAAGAUUAAUACCCGAUAGUAUAGUAUUUCCGCAUGGUUUCACUAUUAAAGAACUUCGGUUAUCGAUGGGGAUGCGUUCCAUUAGAUAGUUGGCGGGGUAACGGCCCACCAAGUCAACGAUGGAUAGGGGUUCUGAGAGGAAGGUCCCCCACAUUGGAACUGAGACACGGUCCAAACUCCUACGGGAGGCAGCAGUGAGGAAUAUUGGUCAAUGGACGAGAGUCUGAACCAGCCAAGUAGCGUGAAGGAGGACUGCCCUAUGGGUUGUAAACUUCUUUUAUACGGGAAUAAAGUGGAGUAUGCAUACUCCUUUGUAUGUACCGUAUGAAUAAGGAUCGGCUAACUCCGUG